UGCAAGUCGAACGGUAACAGGUUAAGCUGACGAGUGGCGAACGGGUGAGUAAUGUAUCGGAACGUGCCCAGUCGUGGGGGAUAACUGCUCGAAAGAGCAGCUAAUACCGCAUACGACCUGAGGGUGAAAGCGGGGGAUCGCAAGACCUCGCGCGAUUGGAGCGGCCGAUAUCAGAUUAGGUAGUUGGUGAGGUAAAGGCUCACCAAGCCGACGAUCUGUAGCUGGUCUGAGAGGACGACCAGCCACACUGGGACUGAGACACGGCCCAGACUCCUACGGGAGGCAGCAGUGGGGAAUUUUGGACAAUGGGCGCAAGCCUAAUCCAGCCAUGCCGCGUGCGGGAAGAAGGCCUUCGGGUUGUAAACCGCUUUUGUCAGGGAAGAAAAGGUUCUGGCUAAUACCUGGGACUCAUGACGGUACCUGAAGAAUAAGCACCGGCUAACUACGUGCCAGCAGCCGCGGUAAUACGUAGGGUGCAAGCGUUAAUCGGAAUUACUGGGCGUAAAGCGUGCGCAGGCGGUUAUGCAAGACAGAGGUGAAAUCCCCGGGCUCAACCUGGGAACUGCCUUUGUGACUGCAUGGCUAGAGUACGGUAGAGGGGGAUGGAAUUCCGCGUGUAGCAGUGAAAUGCGUAGAUAUGCGGAGGAACACCGAUGG
Molecule: ribosomal RNA, 657 nt
Filed under: uncultured Roseateles sp.
Lineage: Bacteria; Pseudomonadati; Pseudomonadota; Betaproteobacteria; Burkholderiales; Sphaerotilaceae
Description: bacterial SSU rRNA
Rfam family: Bacterial small subunit ribosomal RNA
Source: RNAcentral